UAGCGCUGAACAGCAACUGGAGGAAUGUAUAGCUAAGGCUAAAUGUAUUAUGUAAUAAUACAGAUUCGAUUUAUUCGUAUAAAGUUCUAGAUAGAAUUAUGAUAAUGACAUUGUCUAUCUAUAAGUCUUGACUAACAUACGUGCCAGCAGUCGCGGAAAGACGUAAAAGACUAGUGUUAUUCAUCUUUAAUAGGUUUAAAGCGUACCUAGACGGUAAAUCAAGCCUUAACCGGGACUAAUUUUACUAGAGUUAGAUGUAAGGGUGCAUUAAUGUACUGUUGAGUGUAGAGAUGAAAUUCUAUUAUACCAGAUUAUUGGCACGGGUUUAGGCGAAAGCAUCGCCUUAUGUAAUAACUGACGUUGAGGGACGAAGGCUUUGUAUCGCGAACAGGAUUAGGUACCCCAGUAGUCUAAGCAGAAAAUGAUGAGUGUCAUAGGUUAAAUAUUAUUUGGUCUAUAAAUGAAAGUGUAAGCAUUCCACCUCAAGAGUAAUUUGGCAACAUUGGAAUUGAAAUCAUUAGACCGUUUCUGAAACCAGUAGUGAAGUAUGUUGUUAAUUAGACAGCCCACCAAGAACCUUACCACAACUUGAAUAUUUUACAAGCGUUGCACGGCUGUCUUCAGUUAAUGUCGUGAGAUUAUGGUUAGUUCCAUUAAAUUAACGUAAACCCUUACUUUAUUUUUAGAUAAGUUGUUCGCCGCUAGAUUGGUUAGAUAAAAGGGACUAAGACAAGUCAUCAUGGCCUGAUGUUGU
RNAcentral lists this ribosomal RNA (754 nucleotides) under Callome multipartita. RNAcentral's name for it is "SSU rRNA". It matches the Rfam family "Bacterial small subunit ribosomal RNA", at positions 339 to 1210 of the family's 1533-position model. Lineage: Eukaryota; Fungi; Ascomycota; Lecanoromycetes; Peltigerales; Collemataceae. The record is from RNAcentral.